CGGGCAGGCAGGCAGCGGCGGGAGCGGGGCCACCCUCCACCCCCGCACCCCUUCCCUCGGCGCCCCCGCCCGCCGGCGCUCCCUUACUCGAUGAAGAAGACUCGCCCGUCCUUGCAGACGCCGUAGGACCAGUGCUCAGAGCCUGUGUAGGUGGACUUCCAUAGAGAAGACCAAAAUAGACGCAGUGUCUCGGCUUACUUUACCACUGAACAGUUCUUCACACCAAAACCCAUUCAGCAGAAGUCCACUUCAACCAGAUUUUGGUGGGUACCAGGACAACAGAGAAGUUCGGAACCAAGGAGGAACAUGGGGAUUGUUCUGCAGAGGGUAAAACAUCAGCCCAGCCU
Long non-coding RNA from Columba livia (rock pigeon), 347 nucleotides. RefSeq lists it as uncharacterized. NCBI's taxonomy places the organism in Eukaryota, Metazoa, Chordata, Aves, Columbiformes, Columbidae. The transcript has 3 exons. The record is from RefSeq and is a predicted model, not a curated record.